RNAcentral lists this transfer RNA (77 nucleotides) under Caudoviricetes sp. RNAcentral describes it as "tRNA-Met". It matches the Rfam family "tRNA". From Rfam's summary of the family: Transfer RNA (tRNA) molecules are approximately 80 nucleotides in length. Their secondary structure includes four short double-helical elements and three loops (D, anti-codon, and T loops). Further hydrogen bonds mediate the characteristic L-shaped molecular structure. tRNAs have two regions of fundamental functional importance: the anti-codon, which is responsible for specific mRNA codon recognition, and the 3' end, to which the tRNAs corresponding amino acid is attached (by aminoacyl-tRNA synthetases). tRNAs cope with the degeneracy of the genetic code in two manners: having more than one tRNA (with a specific anti-codon) for a particular amino acid; and 'wobble' base-pairing, i.e. permitting non-standard base-pairing at the 3rd anti-codon position. The record is from RNAcentral. Lineage: Duplodnaviria; Heunggongvirae; Uroviricota; Caudoviricetes.
GGCGGAGUAGAGCAGCACGGUAGCUCGCCAGCCUCAUAAGCUGGAGGACGCUGGUUCAAAUCCAGCCCCCGCACCCA